This 263-nucleotide unclassified non-coding RNA is filed under the name plant metagenome. Its description in RNAcentral is "partial contains small subunit ribosomal RNA, internal transcribed spacer 1, and 5.8S ribosomal RNA". The record is from RNAcentral.
UUUCCGUAGGUGAACCUGCGGAAGGAUCAUUAUUGUAUAAUCGAGGUGCGAGGGCCGUCGCUGACCCGACAGGUCGUGCACGCCCGAGUGCCCUCACACACAUCCAUUUCACCCCUAUGUGCACCACCGCGUGGGUCCCCCUUUGGCUUGUUCGUAGGGGGGCUUACGUUUUCACACAAACUUUGUAUGCAGUGUAGAAUGUAUUUUUUGUUUUUGCGAUCACGCAAUCAAUACAACUUUCAACAACGGAUCUCUUGGCUCUC